Molecule: ribosomal RNA, 366 nt
Filed under: uncultured organism
Description: bacterial SSU rRNA
Rfam family: Bacterial small subunit ribosomal RNA
Source: RNAcentral
CGGAGGAUCCAAGCGUUAUCCGGAAUCAUUGGGUUUAAAGGGUCCGUAGGCGGUUUUAUAAGUCAGUGGUGAAAUCUGGUCGCUCAACGAUCAAACGGCCAUUGAUACUGUAAGACUUGAAUUACUUGGAGGUAACUAGAAUAUGUAGUGUAGCGGUGAAAUGCUUAGAGAUUACAUGGAAUACCAAUUGCGAAGGCAGGUUACUACAAGUAUAUUGACGCUGAUGGACGAAAGCGUGGGGAGCGAACAGGAUUAGAUACCCUGGUAGUCCACGCCGUAAACGAUGGAUACUAGCUGUUUGGAGCAAUCUGAGUGGCUAAGCGAAAGUGAUAAGUAUCCCACCUGGGGAGUACGCUCGCAAGAGUG